UUAAAAAUAGAAAAGUCGACCGAAGUAACCCAAUUAGAGGCUACAGCAGCAGAAGUAAACAAACAUGGCGUCCUCCAGUUGCUAGAGGACGAUGACAUAGAUGAAGAUGAGCUUUAUUCCAUGAAGGAAGAAAUUGAAAACCUCAAGAAACAAGAAGAAAAACUACGCAAACAACAGGAUUUCCACGAAACCAAAAAGCAAUUGGAUAAACAGAAGGCGAAAAUCGAAUCCCUAAAGGACAGACAGAUGUCUCAACUUGGUGAGGACUUGAGAGCAUCGAAUAGACGAGCCUAUGCUGAGGGAUACAGG
Long non-coding RNA from Dreissena polymorpha, 309 nucleotides. RefSeq lists it as uncharacterized. NCBI's taxonomy places the organism in Eukaryota, Metazoa, Mollusca, Bivalvia, Myida, Dreissenidae. The transcript is spliced from 2 exons. The record is from RefSeq and is a predicted model, not a curated record.